GGAUCAGUAUGUUGGUCGUGCUUCGGUACGUACUGUCAUUACUGGUUUCUCCCUUCUGAAGAACCUUGAUGUCAUUAAUUUGGUGUCUUGGGGAAUCAGGACUGUUACUUUGAAAAAAUUAGAGUGUUUAAAGCAAGCAUACGCUUGAAUACAUUAGCAUGGAAUAAUGAAAUAGGACGUUUGAUUCUAUUUUGUUGGUUUCUAGGAUCGACGUAAU
RNAcentral lists this ribosomal RNA (217 nucleotides) under Dominikia sp. RNAcentral's name for it is "partial small subunit ribosomal RNA". The stretch from base 36 to 217 matches the Rfam family "Eukaryotic small subunit ribosomal RNA", at positions 683 to 866 of the family's 1831-position model. Lineage: Eukaryota; Fungi; Glomeromycota; Glomeromycetes; Glomerales; Glomeraceae. The record is from RNAcentral.